AUAUAGUAAAUUAUCCAGUGAUGAGUUGUUAGUAGACAGUGUCACUACUCCAGUUCUGUAUCACUGUACCUACCCAUCCUUUUAUGAUGAGAUAAAGAUCCAGCUGCCUACAAGGAUCAGUAGACGUCAUCAUUUAUUAUUCACUUUCAAGCACAUCAGUUGUGAUAUUCAGAAGAUUGCUAAAGGAGGCGGGGCCAGUGGAAGAGGCUCAGUUAAACAUAACAGCAUUGAAACCAUUGUUGGUUAUUCUUGGUUGCCUCUGCUUGGAAGUGAUGGAAGGAUCAAUUCUGAGUCAUUGUUAUUUACCAGUGUUAGCAGCUGC
Long non-coding RNA from Amphimedon queenslandica, 322 nucleotides. RefSeq lists it as uncharacterized. Lineage: Eukaryota; Metazoa; Porifera; Demospongiae; Haplosclerida; Niphatidae. The transcript has 4 exons. The record is from RefSeq and is a predicted model, not a curated record.